Molecule: ribosomal RNA, 253 nt
Filed under: uncultured bacterium
Lineage: Bacteria
Description: partial 16S ribosomal RNA
Rfam family: Bacterial small subunit ribosomal RNA
Source: RNAcentral
UACGUAGGGGGCGAGCGUUGUCCGGAGUUACUGGGCGUAAAGGGCAUGCAGGCGGUCCGACACGUUUUGUGUGACAGCGGGUGGCUUAACUACCCGAGGAUACUAAAGACGGUUGGACUUGAGGACUCGAGAGGGACACGGAAUUCCGGGUGGAGUGGUGAAAUGCGUAGAGAUCCGGAGGAACACCGAAGGCGAAGGCAGUGUCCUGGCGAGUGACUGACGCUGAGGUGCGAAAGCCAGGGGAGCGAACGGG